AUUGGACGCUGGCGGCAGGCCUAACACAUGCAAGUCGAGCGGAUGAAGGGAGCUUGCUCCUGGAUUCAGCGGCGGACGGGUGAGUAAUGCCUAGGAAUCUGCCUGGUAGUGGGGGAUAACGUCCGGAAACGGGCGCUAAUACCGCAUACGUCCUGAGGGAGAAAGUGGGGGAUCUUCGGACCUCACGCUAUCAGAUGAGCCUAGGUCGGAUUAACUAGUUGGUGGGGUAAAGGCCUACCAAGGCGACGAUCCGUAACUGGUCUGAGAGGAUGAUCAGUCACACUGGAACUGAGACACGGUCCAGACUCCUACGGGAGGCAGCAGUGGGGAAUAUUGGACAAUGGGCGAAAGCCUGAUCCAGCCAUGCCGCGUGUGUGAAGAAGGUCUUCGGAUUGGAAAGCACUUUAAGUUGGGAGGAAGGGCAGUAAGUUAAUACCUUGCUGUAUUGACGUUACCAACAGAAGAAGCACCGGCUAACUUCGUG
Molecule: ribosomal RNA, 484 nt
Filed under: uncultured bacterium
Lineage: Bacteria
Description: partial 16S ribosomal RNA
Rfam family: Bacterial small subunit ribosomal RNA
Source: RNAcentral